UGCCGCGUGAGUGAAGAAGGCCUUCGGGUUGUAAAGCUCUUUCGUGAGGGAAGAAAAGGUUCAGGCGAAUAACCUGGAUUGAUGACGGUACCUCAAGAAGAAGCACCGGCUAACUACGUGCCAGCAGCCGCGGUAAUACGUAGGGUGCGAGCGUUAAUCGGAAUUACUGGGCGUAAAGCGUGCGCAGGUGGUUUGUUAAGUCAGAUGUGAAAGCCCCGAGCUUAACUUGGGAACUGCGUUUGAAACUGGCAAGCUAGAGUCUGUCAGAGGGGGGUAGAAUUCCACGUGUAGCAGUGAAAUGCGUAGAGAUGUGGAGGAAUACCAAUGGCGAAGGCAGCCCCCUGGGAUAAGACUGACGCUCAUGCACGAAAGCGUGGGGAGCAAACAGGAUUAGAUACCCUGGUAGUCCACGCCCUAAACGAUGUCAACUGGUUGUUGGGCAACAUGAUUGCUCAGUAACGAAUCUAACGCGAGAAGUUGACCGCCUGGGGAGUACGGUCGCAAGAUUAAAACUCAAAGGAAUUGACGGGGACCCGCAC
RNAcentral lists this ribosomal RNA (539 nucleotides) under uncultured bacterium. Its description in RNAcentral is "bacterial SSU rRNA". It matches the Rfam family "Bacterial small subunit ribosomal RNA", at positions 395 to 926 of the family's 1533-position model. The record is from RNAcentral.